UACAGAGGUCCCAAGCGUUGUUCGGAAUUACUGGGCGUAAAGGGCGCGUAGGCGGCCUGUUAAGUCGGACGUGAAAUCCCUCGGCUCAACCGGGGAACUGCGUCCGAUACUGGCGGGCUUGAAUUCGGGAGAGGGAUGUGGAAUUCCAGGUGUAGCGGUGAAAUGCGUAGAUAUCUGGAGGAACACCGGUGGCGAAGGCGGCAUCCUGGACCGACAUUGACGCUGAGGCGCGAAAGCCAGGGGAGCAAACGGG
This 253-nucleotide ribosomal RNA is filed under the name uncultured bacterium. Its description in RNAcentral is "partial 16S ribosomal RNA". It matches the Rfam family "Bacterial small subunit ribosomal RNA", at positions 524 to 776 of the family's 1533-position model. The record is from RNAcentral.